AUUUGGGGGUUUCUUCGCGGGGUGUCCAGGUUCCACCGCUUGCAGGGGAUGUUCUCGCUGCGGUUCCACGCGGCAGCCUCCUUCACCCUGUAUUAUGCCCUGAGGAAGUGCUGGGAGGUGAGGGGCUUCUGGCUGCUCCUGGGGCUCUACAGCGUCCCCCCUGCCAUCACCGAGCUGCUGCUGCUGGUGGUGGCCGCCCUGGGCCGCAGGGGGAACCUGUGAGCAGGGGGGGCAAAAAAUGUGGGGGUCCUUAAUUAUUGGGACCCCAUUUUUUUU
Non-coding RNA from Anas platyrhynchos (mallard), 276 nucleotides. The record is from RefSeq and is a predicted model, not a curated record. NCBI's taxonomy places the organism in Eukaryota, Metazoa, Chordata, Aves, Anseriformes, Anatidae.